GGGAUUGCCUCAGUAACGGCGAGUGAAGCGGCAACAGCUCAAAUUUGAAAUCUGGCCCCCUCGGGGGGCCCGAGUUGUAAUUUGCAGAUUGUGCUUUUGGCGAGGCGCCUUCCGAGUUCCCUGGAACGGGACGCCACAGAGGGUGAGAGCCCCGUCUGGUCGGCCGCCGAGCCUCUGUAAAGCACCUUCGACGAGUCGAGUAGUUUGGGAAUGCUGCUCAAAAUGGGAGGUAUAUGUCUUCUAAAGCUAAAUACCGGCCAGAGACCGAUAGCGCACAAGUAGAGUGAUCGAAAGAUGAAAAGCACCUUGAAAAGGGGGUUAAACAGUACGUGAAAUUGUUGAAAGGGAAGCGCUCGCGACCAGACUUGGGCCCGGCGGAUCACCCAGCGUUCUCGCUGGGGCACUCCGCCUCGUCCCAGGCCAGCAUCGGUUCGUGCCGGGGGACAAAGGCGGCGGGAACGUGGCUCCCCCGGGAGUGUUAUAGCCCGCCGCGCAAUGCCCUGGGGCGGACCGAGGAUUCGCGCAUCUGCAUGGAUGCUGGCGUAAUGGUCACCAGCGACCCGUCUUGAAACACGGACCAAGGAGUCGUCUUCGUAUGCGAGUGUUCGGGUGUCAAACCCCUACGCGUAAUGAAAGUGAACGCAGGUGAGAGCUUCGGCGCAUCAUCGACCGAUCCUGAUGUUCUCGGAUGGAUUUGAGUAGGAGCAUACGGGGCCGGACCCGAAAGAAGGUGAACUAUGCCUGUGUAGGGUGAAGCCAGAGGAAACUCUGGUGGAGGCUCGCAGCGGUUCUGACGUGCAAAUCGAUCGUCAAACAUGGGCAUGGGGGCGAAAGACU
This 837-nucleotide ribosomal RNA is filed under the name Aschersonia andropogonis. RNAcentral's name for it is "eukaryotic LSU rRNA". It matches the Rfam family "Eukaryotic large subunit ribosomal RNA", at positions 71 to 932 of the family's 3401-position model. Lineage: Eukaryota; Fungi; Ascomycota; Sordariomycetes; Hypocreales; Clavicipitaceae. The record is from RNAcentral.